Molecule: non-coding RNA, 25 nt
Filed under: Cricetulus griseus (Chinese hamster)
Lineage: Eukaryota; Metazoa; Chordata; Mammalia; Rodentia; Cricetidae
Source: RNAcentral
ACACAAACUCUGUCGGAAGCGCGGG